Molecule: transfer RNA, 59 nt
Filed under: Calumma oshaughnessyi
Lineage: Eukaryota; Metazoa; Chordata; Lepidosauria; Squamata; Chamaeleonidae
Description: tRNA-Tyr
Source: RNAcentral
GGGGGAUUAAAGCCCCAUAAGUAAAUUUACAGUUUACCACCUAGUUCGGCCACCUGACC